AUUGAACGCUGGCGGCAUGCUUUACACAUGCAAGUCGAACGGCAGCGCGGGCUUCGGCCUGGCGGCGAGUGGAGAACGGGUGAGUAAUGCAUCGGAACGUGCCCAGUAGUGGGGGAUAGCCCGGCGAAAGCCGGAUUAAUACCGCAUACGACCUGAGGGUGAAAGCGGGGGACCGAAAGGCCUCGCGCUAUUGGAGCGGCCGAUGUCGGAUUAGCUAGUUGGUGGGGUAAAGGCUUACAAAGGCGACGAUCCGUAUGGGGUCGGAGGGGACGACCAGCCACACGGGGACUGAGACACGGCCCAGACUCCUACGGGAGGCAGCAGUGGGGAAUUUGGGACAAGGGGGGCAACCCUGACCCAGCCAGGCGGCGUGCGGGAAGAAGGCCUUCGGGUGGUAAACCGCUUUUGUUCGGGAAGAAAUCCUCUGGGCUAAUACCCCGGGGGGAGGACGGGACCUGAAGAAUAAGCACCGGCUAACUACGG
This 483-nucleotide ribosomal RNA is filed under the name uncultured bacterium. Its description in RNAcentral is "partial 16S ribosomal RNA". It matches the Rfam family "Bacterial small subunit ribosomal RNA", at positions 29 to 506 of the family's 1533-position model. The record is from RNAcentral.